Myotis lucifugus (little brown bat) is the source of this 443-nucleotide long non-coding RNA. RefSeq lists it as uncharacterized. The record is from RefSeq and is a predicted model, not a curated record. The transcript has 3 exons. Lineage: Eukaryota; Metazoa; Chordata; Mammalia; Chiroptera; Vespertilionidae.
GGGGAGGCGGGGUCGGAGGGGCAGCCUGUGAGCGGAGCGGUUUCCGCGGGGCCCCCUGCCCGCGCCCCGCGCUCAGCCCAGGUCGCCGCGCCUCCCGUCCGCGGGCACAGCCUGCGAGCCGAGCCCCCAGGGAAGCAGCGCGGGGACCGUGAGCUCCUUGCGGGAAAGGAGGACGACAUAAAUGCUGAGAAGCCUUGUUCACAUAGUAAUUGGGAAAGGAAGAGAUCUGUUACAAUGAUAUUCCUCCAGUCUGAACUACUUCCGAGUCACAUGCCAACAAUCACAGAGUGUCCUACUACCAAAUACUAUUAUCAGAACCUGGUUUCUGUCCUGCAGAGCUACAUAUAUAGUCUUUCUCCUGGGGAGUGACAGCAGCACUUUCAACAUGGUAAUGCCUGCUGCUCUUCCUCACUCGGCUGUGUCCACUAGCCCAGUGGUGUGGG